UGACCUCAAGUGAUUCUCCUGGCUCGGCUUCUCAAAGCAUUGGGAUUACAGGUGUGAGCCACCAUGCCUGGCUGUAAGCCUCGCUUAAAAUCCCAUCCUCCAAAAAUUCUUACAGAAUUCUCCAGUUGCCAUUAACUUCACCCUCUCCUGUGGUCCCAUGAGACCUGGUACCUUCAUUGGAGUAGAGACCUUUGGCUGCCUUAUUACGGAGGAAUGUCUGUCUGUCUGUCCAUCUCCUUUCUAGUUUGUGAUCUUCUGGAGGGCUUGUCUCUCUGGCCCCCCGAACACCUGGCACCAUGUUUUGCACAAAAAGUUCCGUUCCGAUUGGAAUUCAUUGUGGGUUACAGACCACAUGCAGAUGUGUGCUAGGGAGUUAGAUGACAUUCCCUCAAAUGUGAUCCACUGGAACUAUUUGAAAUACCACAGUUGUGUGGAAUUGGAUGGACAGAAUGUAAAAGUCAAGCCCCUCUAACUUCAGGCAACAUUGGUGCUAAUAACGGCGAUAACCCUGCAAUUCGUAUGCAAUCUACAGUUGCUAAAGCAUUGGCACAUUAAUUAUUUAGGUCCUCCUUGGGGAGAGAUUUAAUUAUCUGUUCAGCUCCAAUGGCUUUGAAGAGCCUUAAAUGGUCUUCCUGGGAAGAAAUGACCACCCCAGCAGCUGCCGAACACAGGUGCAGGCUGGAGCCCUUGAGGCCACCCUGCAGAACAGGGUUCUCUCCAGGCUUUGGGUCCUAGCUGCCUGGAUCAUAAGAUCUACCCCCCGAACCCCCCCACAAAAAAAAAAAAAAAAGAAAGCCAAAAACAGAUAAUCUUCCUGGACAACUCAUGCCUUGUGGGCUCAGAGUAGGAGUCAAAGGGUAUAGUCUCUUGUUUAGGAAGGAAUGGAGGAGGAUGGGGGCAGAGUGUCAGGAUCCCAUCCCCAGCCCAAGGAACCUGGCCAGAGGGUGGGCACUGCAGAGGUGGGGGUGGGUCCUGAGCUAAGCAGGGAAGGCCAUGGGCAAAUUCUGUUGCUGCUGCUGGAGCAAGUACCUGGUUUGGUUGACACUAGCAGCAUGUAGUCCCUCCUGCCUCCAGCAAAAAGGCUGCCGCUUGGCUCCUUCCCCUGCUUGGAGGAUGGAGGCCAAGGGAUGAUGGGAAUAUUCCGAGCAGGAGAGAAGGAACAUGUCAUGGGGUGAGGGCAGGGCUGAGAGACCUUGGGAGAAGGCCAGGGCUCGGGAGACUUGGGUGAGAAAUAGGGUCAAGGCCAGUAGUGUGAAGAGUUCUAGAGUGGCCAGAGCUGGAGGUGGAGGGGACUUUGUGUGGGGAAUUAAACAUCCAGGGGAGUCAAGGCAGGACCUGGAAGAGCUCUGUGGGGCCUGGAAGCCUGAAGGUGGGCUGGGGGAGGGCCAGGUGAGGGGCCAAGGCAGAUGGGAGCAGACAGAGGGGCAGGCAUUUAGGGGCAGGGUGGCCCUACCAUCCUUUUGUGAGGUAGCUGGCCCCACCAGGGGUUAGAACUUGUUAACAGGAAGCGAGGUAUCCUGAGGUGCCUUGGUCCUCAGGGCCAGAAGAGGAAGAGACUCGAAUCUGGCCCCAGAAACUGAACUGAAACCAAUGUCUGGGGUGGGGGUGAGGGUGGGUGGGUCUCACUCCUCCCCCGUGCUCAUAGCCCUCCACGUCUUCAUGUGGAAGAACUGUGUUCUGUCUACAGCGUUAUUUAUUUAGAGGUACUGCUUCUUUUCCAUUGGAGGGUAGGCUCUUGGAAGAUGGGGUGGUUCUUGGCUGGAGGGAUUGAAGGAGCCAGGAUAGAUAGUUGGGGCCAAAUGCAAGAGCCAAGUUCAGCACCUUGGAGAGCUCUGAGUGCCCUGGGGUCAGGCCAGAACGACAGGGGAACUCUAUAGAGGUUAGAGGGUGCCCUGGAGCAGCUGACGACGUCCACCGCUGAGUGGGGCUGGGGCCCUGACAUCCUCCUUCAGAGGCAGACUCAGACCCCGAGUUCUGGGAACCUCAGAUGGCUUGUGUCUGUUUGGCCCCUUCGUUUAUUCAUUAAACUGCUGUUUCCUGUGUGCCGGGCACUGGCGGGGGGAGAAGGGGGUGCUGGGGUCACAUGGAAAUCGGCACGUGUGCAGAGCUGGGGGAGCUCACAGUUUAACGGGAGACACACUCACAGAGCGUGUGUCUGCCUGGAAUGCCCUGCAAGAGUCGUCUGACUGGGGCAAGUGCUGGGCGGAUGUGGCACCGAGGAGGGGAUGGCUGGUUCUACCCGACGGAGCUGAGGAGAGUGUCCACAGGGAAGGUGACAGUCAAGGGAAGACUCAAAAGGAGGCUGGGGGCCACUGGUGGAUUUCACGAGGGAGGCUGAGAGCGUCAGGCCUGGACCAUGGAGUAGAAGCCACUUUCUGUCCCCAAGGAGCUCAAAUCUGAUGGGAAAGGAGCCACUGGAGUAGACAGAGGUGAGUUUGGCUGCUCAGCACUGGAACCCCUUCCUACUGGGGACAAUCCCAAGAUGUGGGGAUCUGGGCCUCGUCACUGUGGGGGCCCAGGGGAGGUAGCUCCCUGAUAGCUGGCAUGUGGUCAUGAGGCCUGGGCUUGGCCGGUUGGGUGCUCCGGCCCCAGACUUCGAAGUUCCUUCAGGAGUGCAAAGACAGUGAUGACCAUGUUGGCUGUGAUGAACUUGCAAAGCUAUGCUCCCCCAGGACCUGGGCAGGCUCUGCCAUAAGUGGCAUUUAUCAUAGGCCUGACAUAUCCAUGCAUCUGUCCCAGUCAGGGCCUGGGAUGCCAACCACAGGACCCAGUUCUGACAGCGAAGCAGAAAGGUAUAUAUUGGAGGCUGGUGAACGAGGCUGGGAAUUGGGGCAGGAAUUGAGGCAGUGCAGCCAGGUCCGUCACAGAGACAGUCCCCCUGGGGUCCUAUACAGGCACAGUCUCCCCCGGGAGCCUGCUGCCCUCCAUUCCCAGCCAGCGGGCAGCCCUGGGUUCCAGGAGUGGGUGGCUCUGCAGCUACCAUGAGACCACCCCCUACUCUCUAUCCAUUCAGAGGCCCUGGCUGACUGGCCUCCACUGGGGGUCCUGGGGAGCUGGGUGAACAGCUGUUGUGGGGUGUGGGGAGGGGCUGGCUGGGAAGAGGCCGAGUGAGCAGCCUCAGAGCUUCGGCAUCCAAAGCUGCAGACCCACAAGAAUGGUGUGCUUUGGAAAUAGAAGGGCCACAGGGACCUGGACGAGGAAAUGGUAUUCCUCCAUAAGGGAUGAGGAGCCCGACGGCCACAGAUGCAAACCCAAAGCCUAAAUUCUCAUGUGCUCAUGAAACCUCACUUUGUUGUAUUCUUCCUGGAGACCUAAUCUUUCCAAGAUCUGGCCAGCUACGGCUUUGGGAAAGUCAGCCACCUGCACCAGGUGACAGGCCGGCUUAGAGAAGGAGUGGAAAGAGAUUCAGGGAGAACUGGGGAUAGGGGCAGGCAGAAGAGUCACAGGAGACGGGAAAACAUGGGUCUCCCCUCCUGCUUCAGUAAAAGCCAUUAUUUCCCAAGAAUUCUGAGAGCCAUAGUCCUAGCAAAUAAAUCAAUACUUUUAAAGGAUUUGCAAGAAUCAGUGAACCAGAGCCGGGAGUACAAUCAGUUUAGUUACCUAGGUAAAGAAGGAAAUGAAAUGGAAACCCCAGAUGCCAGGAGCUAAUGUCAGCUCAGAACACUGCGAAUCCCAUCCAGGGAGGAGUCACAGCUGGGAGGAUGUGGGGCUAGGAGAGAGGGGAGAAGAGAGAGUGUGUGUGUGUGUGAGUGUAUGAGUGUGUGUGUGUAGAGACCCCUCCCCUCUCUGCCCACCCUGUGCCCUUCAUGGUCUUCCAGGAGGAGUGUCUGCCCCUGGUUCUCUGUGCCCACCCCUCCUGCCCAUCCUGGCCCGGGUCAGUUUAGGACAAUACACCUGCCUCCUGCCAUUUCGGGGGGGGGUAAAAGCCCAAGAGUCAUUUCUAGUUUUUCAUAUUUCUAACGACCUUUUAAGAUGAUACAAGUAAUCUCCACAUCAUUAUAGGAAUAUUAGAAAAUCUUUACAGGCAUGAAAGAAGAAAGUGGAAUUGUGCCCUCCAGGUGAUCCGCCCCCUGCCGCAGGCCCUGGCGCAGAGUCAGGAGGUCAGGUCUGCCUUAGAAGGCCUAUGGCAGGCCUGGGGGCUCGGGGGAUCAUGCAACGGCGGGGAGUCAGCCCCUCAUCCUGCCAAGGGUGACACACUGCUGCAGUGCCCCCAUGUAGCAGACAUGGUGCCCAGCACGCCCCCUGCCCAUCACACUGGGCGGCGAGUCCAUGUUGUGCCCCAGCCUGUGAGGAGGCACCCGGCCUGGUUCCAUGAGGUCCCAGAAAGAACCAACAGAUGGGCUGUACUGACACCCCCCUCCUCCCAACCCCCAGGUUGUGCCUGGUCUCCCCUUGUCCCAGGCCAAUCCCUCCUCCUGGGUGUGUAAUCUCUGCCUGCUGAAUCCUAUCUUCCAGUUAGCCUGCCAGCUCAGGCAGGUGGAGCCGCCGCCUUUCCCUCCCCCGAUACUCCCAGAGCCCUAUGCAGCCUCUGACACUCACUGGGCUCCACGUGACGAUCAACACGACUGAUACCCCAGAUGCAGGAAGGAGAGGCCUGACUGGGCACACGGCCCAUGCUCCAGGGCCUUCUGGCUCGAUUCUCCCUGCGUGGGACCAUUCAUGUGUCCCUACCAUUUCGGCUGAGCUUCCGGUUUUACCGACACCCGUCUCUGCCUGGGUCCCUCCCCAUAUGUAUUUAACGUGACAGUCUGUUUUUCUUGGGAAGCAGAACCUACCAGAUUCUGUGAUAAUACCACGGCCCUGUUUUUACAAAUCCACUGGACACAGUUACCCAAGAGUUGCUGUCCUGCACUGGCGUGGCCAAGCCUGUGUACUCGGUUGCAGCCCCGGGUUCUGGGGGCCUCAGCUCUAAAUGAGCCGGGCACCGGCCUCUGUGCUCAGAGGCUGACCGGGGGUGGCAGGGCAGCCACACGGUGGGGGGACCAUCCCCUACGUGAACACAAACGCUGAGAAGGACCAGUCUCCCCAGCAGGCUGUGUCCAGCACUGGCCAUGGGCGCGGCUUAUGGGGCAGAAGGGAUGCGACAACCUGGCUUUCUGCCCUCUCGGAGCCUUCUCUGCAUGUACAGUUAUCCAUUCAGUGGGGCAGGGCUGUGCAGAAGGGAAACGGAGGCUGCGUGGGAGCCUGGAAGAGGAGGGUGGCACCUAGGCUAUUCCCUCCGCCUGGGAAUUCCUUCGUCCUCGUUCAGAAAACAUCUACCCAUUCGGUAAGAUCAGCUGCCACUCUGUGGUCCCACCACACUUGGCUCAGCACUCUGCUGAGUCUGUUUGCUUCUCUCUGGACCGGGGGUGGCUCAUGGACAGGGACUUCCAGCACUGAGCACCCAGCAGGGGCAGAGAGGUAUCUGCUGGCUGAGUAAAUGACCCUGACCAAAGGGGAAGACAGGGGCCUUCCUGGCCUGGGGGCACUGAGACGCUGCAGGCUGGCCGCGUGGGGGUCGUCACCAGCUGAGUCUGCAGUCCCCUGUGGUCACACAGGACCAGGUCCUCCUAGACUCCACAGUCCCCAGCCCAGGGAUGAGGAAGGUGCUGCUCGGCCUGACAUGGGAGUGGCCACUGCCCACCAUGGGCCACGGCCUUCCUGCUCAGCUCAGCCUUGCUGGUGAAUCAUGCUGCCCCUGCUGUGCCACUUCCGGGCUCUCUGCGCUCCCACGCUCUGCUGCGGAGGCCCAGGCUGGCUCCCUCUCAGGGUGGGUGCUGCCUCUGGAGGGUGGAGGUGAGGGGAAGGGACUGAGGGUGGUCCUGAGGGGCCUUGCUGGAGCAGCAGUGGGGACCACGCACAUCUGAGGGUUUGGGUAAGUGGGGGCUGCAGCCAGGCCUGGGGCAGGCUGGGGACAGCCUUUUCCCCAGCCUGGCUGGCCUGGGGGAUCGGGAGGGUCUGCGAAUCAAGCUCUGGGACUCCUUGAAGUUCCAGGAAGAACUCCGCCUGUCCCAGCAAAGGUGGAUCCAGGAGAGGAGUGGGCUUGGCCACCUCGGCUGCCACCAGAAGCUGCCCCUUCAGCUCCUAUCUGUUCCCCUCUGCCCCUGGAGCUUCUGAAACCACUUCCCUCCUCCCUGGACUUCUGCAGGCCGAGGUGUGACUGCUCUGUCUCCCGUUAGCAAGGUCUGCAGCAUUGCUCUGAGCAGCAUCCUCCAAUGUGGUGCACCUGUUCGACAGGGGUGCACAGGUAGGCGCUGGGGCAGGGGAAGUCAUGGACUUGCUCACCACUCCGAAAAGCUCUCACUCCUCAGGAAAGCUCUCAAAAGCAAAGCCUGCAUCUGACCGGUCUCUGCACCCCAGUGCCUAGCAUAGCUUCUGGCCUCAAGCAGGUUUCAGGUAAGGUUUGAAUAAGUGACUGAGGGAAACAGGUGCUGGCUUGGAGAAGGUGCUGUGGGAUAGAAGGCACUGAGCUGGGUCUUGAAUGGACAGGGUUUGAGCCAUCAGCCAUGGAGGAAGGGCUGUCCACAAGCAGAGACUCAAGGUAGAGAAGCACAGAGUGACCAGGGAUGCUACAGCUGGGCCAGCUGGGUGGGGGACGACGGAGGGAAGAUGUCAAACAGGGAGGAGGAGAAAAAAAUUACACAGAGAGGGGCAGGACCCUGGCAACAAUUGCACUGAAGUGCUUUAGACAUUUCCAGAAAUCCAGUGUUCUUCUCCCCUGGGCAGCGCCUACAAUGGAAAGCAAAAGCCUGCAAGCUUCAGGGUCGUUCAGUGCCUGGCCCUCUCCUGGCCUGGAAAGAGGAACAGACGGAGGCCAGCAGGGCUGGGUGGUCUCCCGAUCACAAGCAUACAUUUCCCAGGCAUCUGGGCAGUGAUGGAAUUGUCAGCCUGGAAGUCACCUCGAAGGAGAAAUGACCGCGUGCCUCAGACAGAACAGACCCCAGGCCUCAGCGUGGAGCACUCACUACCCAAGAGCUCAGGGUCCUAGGGGUGGAGUCCAGGGCCACUGGGUGGCAGGGCCAGAAGGAGCAGCCGGAUCUACACAGGAUGGCACCGUGCAGUGGUGGUGAUGCUGAGCAGGGCCCAGUGAGUGCUUGCUGGGUGAUCGCCGCGGGCUGGCAUGGCACUGGCACUUCACACUCCUCAUUGCUUUUGAGUUUUGGGAGAGGUGAGGUGACCUGCCCAGUGGAGGGAGGCUGAUCUGAUCUGACAUAGGCCUGUCCUGUCUCGCAUUGGUUCCUGGCCUGUGUACUGGGCUCACCUGGAGGCUUUAAAAAUAUACAGAGGCUCAGGCUUCACCCCCCAAGUUUCUGAUUCACAAGUAUGUUUUUGCCUUUUUAUUCUCACUCCUGAAGUGUCCGGAUCUGUGCUCAGAGCUCAAAAGAAAUUUACUAAAAAAUAUAAAAUUAAGGAACAACAGCUCAAAGAGCCAGCAAUUUAUGCAAAUGAAUGCAAAUAAAUACACACUUCCAUACAUAUGUUUAUGCAAAUAUUCUUGUGGUCCUUGCAAAUCACUCACCCACCUGCUAGCAGCCACCUACGAAUUCUUGGUUGAGAACCCCGGGCAGAGUGCCUGGGUUAAUGACAGGUGGUAUCACGACCUCCCAGAACAGACGUCUCUAUUAGCAAACUCAUCCCAGAAGUCCCCCAGGGAACCUCACUGAGCCUGGCUCUGCCCACCACAACCGCCUCCCCUACUCACUCAGGACUCAGGACUCUUUCAAGGCCACUGGCCAGGGAGGAAUUGGGAGCAACUGUCCAGCAGGCACUCCAAGGCCACCAGGGCUGGGCAGAGAGAGAGGGGCCCUGGCAACUGCCAGGUGCCUGAUCGCUGCUGGGAGGACAGCUGUGACCACUGAGGGUCGGGCUGCCUUUACCUCUGUGCCAGUCUGGGUGGGCCAGCUUGUGACUGAGCACUUGGUCUUGGGUGCUCCACAUGCGCUGUCUGCCUGACCACACCCUACGGCUCACUUUCAUAAAGCAGGAGGCACUGGACUUCAGAAGGAAACUCACCCAGUCACGAUCAGAGGUGAGUGCCCCAUGCCUAUUUCCUCAAUGGACGCUCCUUGCAUAUCCAGCACUCAUUUGCAACCCCUUCUGCCAGGCUUUGUGGAACAGUCAUGAUCUCCAUAACUUCAAGGCACCCUCGCUUUGUUGCCUCCAGGAUAAGCAACUUCUGCAACCUUCUGGCUUUUGGCCUUGGUCCCCGAGAAAGACUGAGAGGAACUGCUCUCUUCCCACAGGGUCACCGCACACUGUCCUUCCUGAGCCGAGGCUGGGCACACUUCUCUAGUUGCUGCCUGGGGCGGAGGGAGCUUGGCAAGGGGGUUGGGAUGUGGCUCUGAAGAUCCACCCAAGACCCCUGCCCUGGUUUCGGGGAUCGUAGCUCAGCCUGUCUUAGGCAGCCUUGGAAAAGGCACAUGCAACUUGUUAUUUCUCUAGUUGCUGCAUCUGGGAUGUGGUUGCCGUCAUCAUUUGGGAGGCUCUGGGGAGCUCGAAUGUGAGCCCCCAGAGGGCAGGGAGUUGGCUUGUUAUGCAGGGUAGGUGCUCAGUACAGUUUUGUUGACUGAUGCAUAGAAUGAGUUUUUCCUCUGCAACACCUAUGCCUCAAUAUUUUCUCCAGUUGUCCUUGUGACUUCAUGCACAACUUGGGGUGAGGUGUGGGCCUGUCCCACCAUGGUACUCACCUCCAAGAGGGCAAGAAUGGACAGUGUCCCCCAUGGACCCAGUAUACAGCUCGAUUUGGAAAAGGUUAUUGAUAUGGUUUGGAUAUUUGUCCCCUCCAAAUCUCACGUGGAAAUGUGUUGGAGGUGGGGCCUGGUGGGAGGUGUCUGGGUUAUGGGUGCGGACCCCUGGUGAAUAGCUUGGUGCACCUCUCACUGUCUUGAGAGGCCUCUCCCUCUAUUAGUUCAUGCUAGGCCUGGUUGUUUAAAGAAGCAUGGUGCCCCUUCCCUCUCUCUUCCGUCCACCCUCACCUUGUGAUGCCUGCUCCCCUGUGCUCUCCACCAUGAGGGGAGCCUGACCACACCCUACGGCUCACUUUCAUAAAGCAGGAGGCACUGGACUUCAGAAGGAAACUCACCCAGUCAUGAUCAGAGGUGAGUGCCCCAUGCCUAUUUCCUCAAUGGACGCUCCUUGCAUAUCCAGCACUCAUUUGCAACCCCUUUAGAGGCCUCUCCCUGAGGCCUCUAAAGAAGCAGAUGCUGGUGUCAUGCUUCCCGUACAGCCUGCAGAACCAGGAGCCAAAUCAACCUCUUUUCUUUAUAAAUUACCCAGCCUUAGGUCUUCCUUUAUAGCAAUGCAAAAUGGACCAAGAUAGUUCCCUAGUUGAAAAGGUAAGUUCAUUUCAGCAUGGGUCUCACUUUUGGCAGGGGUACUGGUGGUAGGGAGAUGGCAGAGGGGUGUCAAACCCUUCAGGCCAUGAUGGAAAUUCAGUGACUAGUGUCCUAUUGGGCACCAGAAGUCAGUUCAGGUAUGACUGUCUCACCAAAGGCCUGUGACAGCAACUUUUCAAGCAUAGAAAUCUCUGGGCCUUGGUGACAACACAUCCCUCCAAACCCUGGGCCCCUGGUGGCAACCCAGCCCUUCGAGUUGUAACACACGGUGGAUUCCAGUCCAGUGGAGAGAAAUCCGCCACGUGGUGUUGGGAGACAAGCCUGGCCUCACUGUCCUCACUCCCAGUUCUUGUUGGUCCAACUUUUCAGGAAGAAAAAGAGCUCUCACACUCAGAACAUUCCCUGUCUGAGUACCAGAGGCCCUAGCUCAGCCACCAGCCACCCGAGUCACCACCCAGGCAUGGGAGCGAGGCCCAGGCCAUGGGGAGCACUAUCUCCGUGUACUCUUUUUUUUUUUUUUUUUUUGAGACAGAGUC
Molecule: long non-coding RNA, 9850 nt
Organism: Cercocebus atys (sooty mangabey)
Lineage: Eukaryota; Metazoa; Chordata; Mammalia; Primates; Cercopithecidae
Exons: 3
Source: RefSeq, a predicted model, not a curated record